GAUGAACGCUGGCGGCGUGCCUAAUACAUGCAAGUCGAGCGAACAGACGCGGAGCUUGCUCCUCUGACGUUAGCGGCGGACGGGUGAGUAACACGUGGAUAACCUACCUAUAAGACUGGGAUAACUUCGGGAAACCGGAGCUAAUACCGGAUAAUAUCUUGAACCGCAUGGUUCAAUAGUGAAAGACGGUUUUGCUGUCACUUAUAGAUGGAUCCGCGCCGCAUUAGCUAGUUGGUAAGGUAACGGCUUACCAAGGCAACGAUGCGUAGCCGACCUGAGAGGGUGAUCGGCCACACUGGAACUGAGACACGGUCCAGACUCCUACGGGAGGCAGCAGUAGGGAAUCGUCCGCAAUGGGCGGAAGCCUGACGGAGCAACGCCGCGGGAGUGAUGAAGGUCUUCGGAUCGUAAAACUCUGUUAUUAGGGAAGAACAAAUGUGUAAGUAACUAGGCACGUCUUGACGGUACCUAAUCAGAAAGCCACGGCUAACUACGUG
RNAcentral lists this ribosomal RNA (497 nucleotides) under uncultured bacterium. RNAcentral describes it as "partial 16S ribosomal RNA". It matches the Rfam family "Bacterial small subunit ribosomal RNA", at positions 28 to 507 of the family's 1533-position model. The record is from RNAcentral.